Molecule: non-coding RNA, 22 nt
Filed under: Arabidopsis thaliana (thale cress)
Lineage: Eukaryota; Viridiplantae; Streptophyta; Magnoliopsida; Brassicales; Brassicaceae
Source: RNAcentral
AGGCAACAUACUCUACUCGACC